Molecule: ribosomal RNA, 771 nt
Filed under: uncultured bacterium
Lineage: Bacteria
Description: bacterial SSU rRNA
Rfam family: Bacterial small subunit ribosomal RNA
Source: RNAcentral
AGAGUUUGAUCCUGGCUCAGGACGAACGCUGGCGGCGUGCUUAACACAUGCAAGUCGAACGGAAAGGCCCUUCGGGGUACUCGAGUGGCGAACGGGUGAGUAACACGUGGGUGAUCUGCCCUGCACUUUGGGAUAAGCCUGGGAAACUGGGUCUAAUACCGAAUAUGACCAUGCGCCUCCUGGUGUGUGGUGGAAAGCUUUUGCGGUGUGGGAUGGGCCCGCGGCCUAUCAGCUUGUUGGUGGGGUAAUGGCCUACCAAGGCGACGACGGGUAGCCGGCCUGAGAGGGUGACCGGCCACACUGGGACUGAGAUACGGCCCAGACUCCUACGGGAGGCAGCAGUGGGGAAUAUUGCACAAUGGGCGCAAGCCUGAUGCAGCGACGCCGCGUGAGGGAUGACGGCCUUCGGGUUGUAAACCUCUUUCAGCACAGACGAAGCGCAAGUGACGGUAUGUGCAGAAGAAGGACCGGCCAACUACGUGCCAGCAGCCGCGGUAAUACGUAGGGUCCGAGCGUUGUCCGGAAUUACUGGGCGUAAAGAGCUCGUAGGUGGUUUGUCGCGUUGUUCGUGAAAACUCACAGCUUAACUGUGGGCGUGCGGGCGAUACGGGCAGACUUGAGUACUGCAGGGGAGACUGGGAUUCCUGGUGUAGCGGUGGAAUGCGCAGAUAUCAGGAGGAACACCGGUGGCGAAGGCGGGUCUCUGGGCAGUAACUGACGCUGAGGAGCGGAAGCGUGGGGAGCGAACAGGAUUAGAUACCCUGGUAGUCC